CGCGAAUGGCUCAUUACAACAGCCGUUGUUUCUUGGAUCUUGAUUUACUUGGAUAACUGUGGUAAUUCUAGAGCUAAUACAUGCAACCAAGCUCCGACCUUGCGGGAGGAGCGCAUUUAUUAGACCAAGACCAAUCGGGCUCUGCCUGACUUUUGGUGACUCUGAAUAACUUUGCUGAUCACACGGUCCAGCACCGGUGACAUAUCUUUCAAGUGUCUGCCCUAUCAACUUUCGAUGGUAGUUUAUGCGCCUACCAUGGUUGUAACGGGUAACGGAGAAUAAGGGUUCGACUCCGGAGAGGGAGCCUGAGAAAUGGCUACCACAUCCAAGGAGGGCAGCAGGCGCGCAAAUUACCCAACCUCAGUUCGAGGAGGUAGUGACGAAAAAUAACGAGACGGUCCUCUAUGAGGCCCGUCAUCGGAAUGGGUACAAUUUAAACCCUUUAACGAGGAUCUAUUGGAGGGCAAGUCUGGUGCCAGCAGCCGCGGUAAUUCCAGCUCCAAUAGCAUAUGCCAAUUCUGUUGCUGUUAAAAAGCUCGUAGUUGGAUCUUUUCCGAGGAGCCAGUCUGCCUAAAGGGUACGUACUGGUUUCCGAGGAUUUUUCUGCUGGUCUUCCCGUGGUGCUCUUCACCGGGUGUCACGGGUGGCUAGCGCUUUUACUUUGAAAAAAUUAGAGUGCUCAAAACAGGCGUUACUGCCCGAAUAGUGGUGCAUGGAAUAAUGGAAUAGGAUCUCGGUUCUAUUUUGUUGGUUUUAGGAGCGCGAGAUAAUGAUUAAGAGGGACAGACGGGGGCAUUCGUAUUGCGGCGUUAGAGGUGAAAUUCUUGGAUCGCCGCAAGACGAACAACUGCGAAAGCAUUUGCCAAGAAUGUCUUCAUUAAUCAAGAACGAAAGUUAGAGGUUCGAAGGCGAUCAGAUCCCGCCC
Molecule: ribosomal RNA, 925 nt
Filed under: Nematoda environmental sample
Lineage: Eukaryota; Metazoa; Nematoda
Description: SSU rRNA
Rfam family: Eukaryotic small subunit ribosomal RNA
Source: RNAcentral